AUUCAAGUCUCCUAUUCCUUUUUGGGCCGUCCCAAUAUUCAAGUCUCCUUUCCCUUUUUGGCAAAAAUUAAGAUACAAUUAGUUGAAUUAACAAUUCUCUCUCUCCCUAUCUAUUGCCUAUCUAUCUCUCACUCUCACUCUCUCUCUCUCUAUCUCUAUCUUCGUCCUCUCUCUCUGAAAUCAAGCGCCGCCCGCUUCUGUGGGAAAACCCUAAGGCUCGUCGUCUUCCUCCAUUCUUUGAGUCCGCCGCCUUUCUCCGUUCUUCUCCUCCGCCGUGAUGAACCCUUCGUAUGGUUGGAAGGAAUAUCUGAGCGACGAAGUCAUUCCCGACACCGAAGAUUCUCUGUCGUUGUGGGGUGAUCCACCGCCCGUGUUUUUCCCUUUCUCCCUGUCGGAGACGUUGCCGGCGUCGCCUGAGGAGCGUGGUGGUGGCGCGUCAGAGAGCGAGGGCGUCCGAGAGUAUGAGGUACCUGAUACUCCUUCUCCUCCGUUUCGACCUCCGAUCAUCCGACGGCCCGCAAGGAUGAAAACGAGAAUGAGGUCUGGCGAACUCGGGGAUUUCGACCUUCUCUGUCAUGAAGCUUGGGGAUCUGACUUUCUGAGCGAGGAAAACCCUAGAGGUCUGGCGAUCUCGGAGGAAUUGGAGGCGAACUCGGAGGAAUUGGAGGCGAUCUUGGAGGAACCGAACGAGUGGUGGCCCACUGCAUCCAAAGCCCACCUACGGAUGCUCGCACAUAUGUUCCCAAUUCUGUUUCCGGUGAGAUCUUUCCUUGGGCUCAUGCUUAUUUCUGCUUGGGUGAUUCCCAAAUCUGUUUUCCCUGAUUAAUUUUGGGUGAUUCCCAAAUAUGUUCAUGAUUAUUUGUGCUUGGGUGAUUCCCAAAUAUGUUCCCAAUUCUGUUUCGGGUGAUUCCCAAAUCUAUUUUCCCUGAUUAAUUUUGUGAUUGGGUGAUUCCCAUUCUGUUUCCCCUGAUCUAUUUUGUGCUUGGGUGAUUCCCAAUUCUUGGUGGCUGCAUGCAAGAGCACUAGGGUUUGUUGGUUGGCAAUUGGAUCUGAAAUGAUAUAAACAUGCUCUGAUUUUGCCACUAUGAUGGUUAAAUGUGCUGUCUGUGCUUUGUGUGUUCGUGUGCUUACGUUGUGAUGUGUAGUUGGCUGCCAUCUUAAUUGUUGUGAUGUGUAGUUGGCUGCCAUCUUAGUUGUUGGGUGUGUAGUUGGCUGCCAUCUUAAUUGUUGUGAUGUGUAGUUGGCUGCCAUCUUAAUUGUUGGGUGUGUAGUUGGCUGCCAUCUUAAUUGUUGGGUGUGUAGUUGGCUGCCAUCUUAAUUGUUGGGUGUGUAGUUGGCUGCCACAUUCAUUAACUGCACUAUAUCUUCAUGUAGGCCUUUACAAAAAAUAAGCCUAUCUAUGUGCCCUACUACAGAUUCUAAACUGCACUAUAUCUUCAUGUAGGCCUUUACAAAAAACUGCACAAAAAACAUUUUGGUCUUGCAGAUGCUAAACUGCACUAUACCUUCAGUUUGGCCUUUACAAAAACUGCACAAAAACUGCACUAAAACCCUUCUAGAUGAUAGCUUUAAUCAAGCAACAUCAUGGCAUUGAAAAGUUCUUCAAUGCCAUCCAUAUUUGCUUCAUUAAUGCCUAAUCUAUCCAUUAGCUCUUCUAGUCCUUCCUCUGCACCUUGAUCUUUCAAAUACUUCAUGCUUUGUGUGACAAGUUCAUGGGGGACUUCCAAACUUGUUGGAAGCAAAUCUUGUCUAAUCAAUGCCCCUUUCUUCAUAUGUGGCAGCUUAUAACAGUUAUUGCCCUUCACCUUCAUGAUCUCCAACAUGCAACCUUGUAAGCUUAAGAAAACACAGUUUAAAGCCAUUGGAUCUAGGUCUUCAUAAGCUUUAUGCACUGCAUUCACUAAAUCAUCAACAUCACUGCAUGCAAUUUCAGUUUGUAGGCUUUGAAUGGCCCUAAAAAACCCAAGGUCAUUGAUAUUGGUGUCGGGUGAGUUUGGAGGUUGAUUCACAAUGUUGAUAUUGAAACCAUCACGUGUGGCAGCCUCUCUAAACUCCAAGUCAUCAUUGCAAAUAUGUGGUCUUGCAUUAUCUUGUUGAAUAAACACAUCUUUGCUUGCAAAAGAGGGCCACUUGGUUAUGAUGGCAGGCACAAUCUGUUGUUUUACAUAAAAAAAAGCAUGCAAAUGGUCAGUUCUUUGAUGUUGACAAUCUGCAUUCACUAAUUGAUGCAUAUAGGCAUUACCUUGUUGAUGAAAAAGUCUCUCAUAACUGGUUUGCUCACACUUUCUAUGGGCUUUUGCUCUAGAGUUCCAGCCACCCUGUUCUUACUUGAUCUUUUUGCUGCCACCAUCUCUGUAAAUGGGAAUAUGCCUAUCUUCCCAUCAAAUAUAAUGCUGCCAUCUGCAGCAAAUAGUGGUCGGCACACUGCAGAUAUGAACAUCACCUUUUUUAUGAAGUUCUUGUUCUUGCAUGUUCUAUGUGGUUCAGCCUCUGUUGGUGUUAAAUAGAACCUGUGAGAACUCUUUGUUAAGUAAAACCAUUUCUCAUCUACGUGUACAAUGUUUUGCAUGCUCUUGAACCUCAAGUUAUGUGACAGCCUGCCCAUCUCUAUUGCAUCUAAGCAAAACCUCAACCUUAACAGCUUAUUUUGGGCUGUAAGGUCAGGUCUUAGUGCACUCGUGUGAGCUUUGAUCAGACCUUGAUCUAUCCACCGACCUACGGUGCUCUUGCUGCAAUUUAUUCCAUUAGCUAGUCUCCUUAUGGUGGACCUCUUUGUUAAAUCUAAACUUGCAAUUAGCUCUAGCCCAAAUGCGCGAAACAGUUCGCCGGCAGACGUGGAACUUCUCCUCCAUAGCUUUCAUCUUCCCUCUUGGUGGCUUUCCAUUUUUGCUUUCAAGAAGAAGGAAUUGAAGCAUUGAAGACCUCUCCUCUGUUGUUAAAUCCUUUCUUCUCAUCUUUUUUUUUUUGGCACUUGUUCUGCUCGCAACCUGCUCUCAGAAAUGGUGAGCAAACAAACAAAUGCUCUGUAUAUAUAGCUGAUGUUGUAGCAAUUUCAAAUUUAUGGAAUGAAAUGAUUAAGUUUGGCCCACCA
RNA transcript from Salvia miltiorrhiza (redroot sage), 3091 nucleotides. RefSeq lists it as uncharacterized. NCBI's taxonomy places the organism in Eukaryota, Viridiplantae, Streptophyta, Magnoliopsida, Lamiales, Lamiaceae. The transcript has 2 exons. The record is from RefSeq and is a predicted model, not a curated record.